Fukomys damarensis (Damara mole-rat) is the source of this 1049-nucleotide long non-coding RNA. RefSeq lists it as uncharacterized. NCBI's taxonomy places the organism in Eukaryota, Metazoa, Chordata, Mammalia, Rodentia, Bathyergidae. The transcript has 3 exons. The record is from RefSeq and is a predicted model, not a curated record.
CUCCUCCCUCUCAGUUCCAGGAAAGUCCUCAGGGACUCACACAUGUGCCACAAGGACACCCGCAGCCACAGCGGCCCACAGACUCCUGCCUGCUCCUUUGAACCUGCUGGGCAGGGCCCAGGGACUCUCGGCCGCACUCUGCCCCGGGGCAGGCUUGGCUGCGAGUCUCUCUGCGCCUGGUGUCUCCACGCGUGUCCCCCCUGGCUCUCCAAGCCAUCGGCCCCCGCACGGGCCUCUUCCUGCACCAGCCUCUGUGUAAUAACCGCCCUUCCGUGCCUCCACACAUCUUGCGCUGCCUUUCAAGGCCCACUGCGCAGGAACCUGGCUGCUUUCCCUGUCAGGAACUUCUAGCCCGUCUGGAGUUACAGACCGCAGCACUCAAUAAAGAAGGAUUAAUACCAACGCUCUGCUUAGUCAUGGCACCCAGAAAGCUGAAAACUUGAUGACUCCAGUGUAUUGAGGUGAAAUAAAACUGUCCCCCAGGCUAACGUGGACGAUAGAAGGCGACCCUCUGAACUGCCUUUGGGAGAAGAGGUUUUGAGACAACGUUUCACUACUAAGCACAGAAGAAACCAAACAGAUUUCUGCAACCAUCAGGGAGGGAGCUGCAGCUGCUGAUUUUAUGAAAUGACAGCAGAUGAGGUUGAGAGCAGUACAGGUAAGAGUCAGGUGAUUAACACAGAAUCUCUGAGAGGCUGGAGGGGGCUCCUGGAAGGAUUAAUGCUGCCCGGGGGGAGGCAGGCAGUUACCUUUCGGCUGAGGCUUCCAGCAAACUGUCAAAGCCAUCAAGCCCCAGAGGUGGAGCUGCCGCCACCCACAGGUUCCACCGUGGGGAACAUGGCAUUGCCCUUCGCCUCUUAGAACCGGCACUGAGCUUUGUGCAAUUAAGGAUGGAGGUGGGGAGCAAUCAAUCCCCUGCUUUCCACAGCUACACUAACCUUUCAGUUUGUUUACAUGCAUAAUGUAGCUCUUAUUCAGAUAUAUGCUUUAAUGCUAUGGAAUGUACCCCUGAUAGUAACAUUGUGAGUGCAAUCAAUAUUUGAUGUCUG